This 467-nucleotide ribosomal RNA is filed under the name uncultured bacterium. Its description in RNAcentral is "partial 16S ribosomal RNA". It matches the Rfam family "Bacterial small subunit ribosomal RNA", at positions 28 to 507 of the family's 1533-position model. The record is from RNAcentral.
GACGAACGCUGGCGGCGUGCUUAACACAUGCAAGUCGAACGAUGUCGACCGAGCUUGCUCGGUCUGAUUAGUGGCGAACGGGUGAGUAACACGUGAGCAACCUGCCCUUCACUCUGGGAUAACCUCGGGAAAUCGGGGCUAAUACCGGAUAUGAGCUCCUGUCGCAUGGCGGGUGUUGGAAAGUUUUUCGGUGAAGGAUGGGCUCGCGGCCUAUCAGUUUGUUGGUGAGGUAGUGGCUCACCAAGGCGAUGACGGGUAGCCGGCCUGAGAGGGCGACCGGCCACACUGGGACUGAGACACGGCCCAGACUCCUACGGGAGGCAGCAGUGGGGAAUAUUGCACAAUGGGCGAAAGCCUGAUGCAGCGACGCCGCGUGAGGGAUGACGGCCUUCGGGUUGUAAACCUCUUUCAGCAGGGAAGAAGCGAAAGUGACGGUACCUGCAGAAGAAGCGCCGGCUAACUACGUG